GGCUCGUUGGUCUAGGGGCUAUGACACCUGCCUACUGUGCGGGAGACCUGGGUUCAAAUCCCGGACGAGCCA
This is a non-coding RNA of Hyposmocoma kahamanoa, 72 nucleotides long. NCBI's taxonomy places the organism in Eukaryota, Metazoa, Arthropoda, Insecta, Lepidoptera, Cosmopterigidae. The record is from the annotation of a RefSeq genome assembly.